GCCGCAGUAGUAUAGCCCGGUCAAGUAUGCGGGCCUUUCGAGCCCGUGACCCGGGUUCAAAUCCCGGCUGCGGCACCA
RNAcentral lists this transfer RNA (78 nucleotides) under Metallosphaera tengchongensis. Its description in RNAcentral is "tRNA-Glu". It matches the Rfam family "tRNA". Rfam says of the family: Transfer RNA (tRNA) molecules are approximately 80 nucleotides in length. Lineage: Archaea; Thermoproteati; Thermoproteota; Thermoprotei; Sulfolobales; Sulfolobaceae. The record is from RNAcentral.